This 265-nucleotide long non-coding RNA is filed under the name Capsicum annuum. Its description in RNAcentral is "long non-coding RNA (CANN_LNC005341)". The record is from RNAcentral. Lineage: Eukaryota; Viridiplantae; Streptophyta; Magnoliopsida; Solanales; Solanaceae.
UUAAUUUUAAAGUUCUAAAUUAAUAAAUUUUUUUAUAUAAUCUAUGUGUAACGAAAUAUUUAAUAAACCAACACACCUUGCUCCUCAAUCUCCUUUGGAAUCUCCUUGUAACUCGAGGAAAGACUACCCGAUUCGUUUCCUGUUCUCACUGCCCUUAUUGACAACUUUCUCACACUUCCUUCCUCUCUAUCUUUGCCUUCUCCUUAAACACUUUUAUUUUUUGAUAGAUCUUAGUGACUUUCAUAUGUUUGGUUGGAGGAUAAAA